CAGCCGUAAACAAUGUGCGUUAGGUGUGUCGGUAACCACGUGUUACUGAUGCGCCGAAGAGAAAUCGUGAAACGCACCACCUGGGAAGUACGGUCGCAAGGCUGAAACUUAAAGGAAUUGGCGGGGGAGCACCACAACAGGUGGAGCCUGCGGUUUAAUUGGAUUCAACGCCGGACAUCUCACCGGAUAAGACAGCUGAAUGAUAGUCGGGAUGAAGACUCUACUUGACUAGCUGAGAGGUGGUGCAUGGCGUGUGACUUGU
Molecule: ribosomal RNA, 262 nt
Filed under: uncultured archaeon
Lineage: Archaea
Description: partial 16S ribosomal RNA
Rfam family: Archaeal small subunit ribosomal RNA
Source: RNAcentral